RNAcentral lists this ribosomal RNA (425 nucleotides) under uncultured bacterium. RNAcentral describes it as "partial 16S ribosomal RNA". It matches the Rfam family "Bacterial small subunit ribosomal RNA", at positions 354 to 796 of the family's 1533-position model. The record is from RNAcentral.
GUGGGGAAUCUUGCGCAAUGGGCGAAAGCCUGACGCAGCCAUGCCGCGUGAAUGAUGAAGGUCUUAGGAUUGUAAAAUUCUUUCACCGGGGACGAUAAUGACGGUACCCGGAGAAGAAGCCCCGGCUAACUUCGUGCCAGCAGCCGCGGUAAUACGAAGGGGGCUAGCGUUGCCCGGAAUUACUGGGCGUAAAGGGCGCGUAGGCGGACAGUUUAGUCAGAGGUGAAAGCCCAGGGCUCAACCUUGGAAUUGCCUUUGAUACUGGCUGUCUUGAGUACGGGAGAGGUGAGUGGAACUCCGAGUGUAGAGGUGAAAUUCGUAGAUAUUCGGAAGAACACCAGUGGCGAAGGCGACUCACUGGCCCGUUACUGACGCUGAGGCGCGAAAGCGUGGGGAGCAAACAGGAUUAGAAACCCGAGUAGUCC